AUUGAACGCUGGCGGAAUGCUUUACACAUGCAAGUCGAACGGCAGCACGGACUUCGGUCUGGUGGCGAGUGGCGAACGGGUGAGUAAUGCAUCGGAACGUAUCCAAUAAUGGGGGAUAACUAAUCGAAAGGUUGGCUAAUACCGCAUACGCCCUACGGGGGAAAGCAGGGGAUCUUCGGACCUUGCGUUAAUGGAGCGGCUGAUAUCUGAUUAGCUAGUUGGUGAGGUAAAGGCUCACCAAGGCGACGAUCAGUAGCUGGUCUGAGAGGACGACCAGCCACACUGGAACUGAGACACGGUCCAGACUCCUACGGGAGGCAGCAGUGGGGAAUUUUGGACAAUGGGCGCAAGCCUGAUCCAGCCAUUCCGCGUGAGUGAAGAAGGCCUUCGGGUUGUAAAGCUCUUUCGCAAGGGAAGAAAACUUACUUUCUAAUAAAGAGUGAGGUUGACGGUACCUUGAUAAGAAGCACCGGCUAACUACGUGCCAGCCGCCGCGGUAA
Molecule: ribosomal RNA, 500 nt
Filed under: uncultured bacterium
Lineage: Bacteria
Description: partial 16S ribosomal RNA
Rfam family: Bacterial small subunit ribosomal RNA
Source: RNAcentral